UACGGAGGGUGCAAGCGUUAUCCGGAUUCACUGGGUUUAAAGGGUGCGUAGGCGGGCAGGUAAGUCCGUGGUGAAAUCUCUGAGCUUAACUCAGAAACUGCCAUGGAUACUAUUUGUCUUGAAUAUUGUGGAGGUAAGCGGAAUAUGUCAUGUAGCGGUGAAAUGCUUAGAUAUGACAUAGAGCACCAAUUGCGAAGGCAGCUUACUACACAGUUAUUGACGCUGAGGCACGAAAGCGUGGGGAUCAAACAGG
RNAcentral lists this ribosomal RNA (253 nucleotides) under uncultured bacterium. RNAcentral's name for it is "partial 16S ribosomal RNA". It matches the Rfam family "Bacterial small subunit ribosomal RNA", at positions 524 to 776 of the family's 1533-position model. The record is from RNAcentral.